CUUAUACUUCCUCUGUCCGAAAAUAUUUGUCAUCAAAAUGGAUAAAAGAGAACAUAUCUAGACGUAUUUUAGUUCUAGAUACAUCUCUGUUUAUCCAUUUUGAUAAUAAGUAUUUUCGGACGGAGGGAAUAUAAA
Non-coding RNA from Triticum aestivum (bread wheat), 135 nucleotides. The record is from Rfam. Lineage: Eukaryota; Viridiplantae; Streptophyta; Magnoliopsida; Poales; Poaceae.